GAUGAACGCUAGCGGGAGGCCUAACACAUGCAAGCCGAGCGGUAUUUGUUCUUCGGAACAGAGAGAGCGGCGCACGGGUGCGGAACACGUGUGCAACCUGCCUUUAUCUGGGGGAUAGCCUUUCGAAAGGAAGAUUAAUACCCCAUAAUAUAUUGAGUGGCAUCACUUGAUAUUGAAAACUCCGGUGGAUAGAGAUGGGCACGCGCAAGAUUAGAUAGUUGGUGAGGUAACGGCUCACCAAGUCAAUGAUCUUUAGGGGGCCUGAGAGGGUGAUCCCCCACACUGGUACUGAGACACGGACCAGACUCCUACGGGAGGCAGCAGUGAGGAAUAUUGGACAAUGGGUUAGCGCCUGAUCCAGCCAUCCCGCGUGAAGGACGACGGCCCUAUGGGUUGUAAACUUCUUCUGUAUAGGGAUAAACCUACUCUCGUGAGAGUAGCUGAAGGUACUAUACGAAUAAGCACCGGCUAACUCCGUG
RNAcentral lists this ribosomal RNA (479 nucleotides) under uncultured bacterium. RNAcentral describes it as "partial 16S ribosomal RNA". It matches the Rfam family "Bacterial small subunit ribosomal RNA", at positions 28 to 507 of the family's 1533-position model. The record is from RNAcentral.